AUGCAAGUCGAGCGAGAAAGUUCCCUUCGGGGAGCAAGUAAAGCGGCGCACGGGCUGAGUAACACGUGGAUAAUCUACCUUUAAGUCUGGGAUAACCCGCCGAAAGGCGAGCUAAUACCGGAUAAGACCACUGGACAUAAGUCCUGCGGUUAAAGGCGGGGACCUUCGGGCCUGCCCCUUGAAGAUGAGUCCGCGUCCCAUCAGCUUGUUGGUAAGGUAACGGCUUACCAAGGCUAAGACGGGUAGCUGGUCUGAGAGGACGAUCAGCCACACUGGCACUGAAACACGGGCCAGACUCCUACGGGAGGCAGCAGUGGGGAAUUUUGCGCAAUGGGCGAAAGCCUGACGCAGCGACGCCGCGUGAGGGAAGAAGGUUUUCGGAUCGUAAACCUCUGUCGGGGGGGAAGAAACCCGGUACGGCCAAUACCCGUACCGAUUGACGGUACCCCUAAAGGAAGCAUCGGCUAACUACGUGCCAGCAGCCGCGGUAAUACGUAGGAUGCAAGCGUUGCUCGGAAUUAUUGGGUGUAAAGGGCGCGUAGGUGGCCUGAUAAGUCAUGGGUGAAAGCCCUCGGCUCAACCGAGGAAUUGCCUAUGAAACUGUCGGGCUUGAGUAUGGGAGAGGGAAGUGGAAUUCCUGGUGUAGCGGUGAAAUGCGUAGAUAUCAGGAGGAACACCGGUGGCGAAGGCGGCUUCCUGG
This 700-nucleotide ribosomal RNA is filed under the name uncultured bacterium. RNAcentral describes it as "bacterial SSU rRNA". It matches the Rfam family "Bacterial small subunit ribosomal RNA", at positions 55 to 732 of the family's 1533-position model. The record is from RNAcentral.